Molecule: ribosomal RNA, 1389 nt
Filed under: uncultured fungus
Lineage: Eukaryota; Fungi
Description: eukaryotic LSU rRNA
Rfam family: Eukaryotic large subunit ribosomal RNA (bases 599-1389)
Source: RNAcentral
AAGUCGUAACAAGGUUUCCGUAGGUGAACCUGCGGAAGGAUCAUUCAUAAUAAGUGUUUUACUGCACUUUUUAAAAAUCAGUAUUCACCUUGUGUGCAAUGUUUGCUGACGAGUUCGCGUUUUUGCGCGUUCUUGGCAGUAUAAUACCAACCCUUUAUUGAAAUUUUUUGUCUGAAAUUUUUUGAAUACAUAAUUCGAAAUACAACUUUUAACAACGGAUCUCUUGGCUCUCGCAUCGAUGAAGAACGCAGCGAAAUGCGAUACGUAAUGUGAAUUGCAGAAUUCAGUGAAUCAUCGAAUCUUUGAACGCACAUUGCACUCUCUGGUAUUCCGGAGAGUAUGCUUGUUUGAGUAUCUGUAAACAUCUCAAAUCUCUACUUUAUUGUAAAGAAUUGGACUUGAGCAAUCCCAACUCCUUCGUCAGAAAGAGAAGGGUUGCUUGAAAUGCAGGUGCAGCUGGACAUUCUUCUGAGCUAAAAGCAUAUUUAUUUAGUCCCGUCAAACGGAUUAUUAUUCUUGCUUCAGCUUAUAUAAAGGUUGAAUGACUACCAAGGCUGAUUGNAGGUAAACUCGUUCCGUAAAAAAGAACUUGUAAACUCGAUCUCNAAUCAAGUAAGACUACCCGCUGAACUUAAGCAUAUCAAUAAGCGGAGGAAAANAAACUAACAAGGAUUCCCCUAGUAACGGCGAGUGAAGCGGGAUGAGCUCAAUUUAAAAUCUGGCUGGUUUACUAGUCCGAGUUGUAGUUUAAAGAAGCGUUUUCGGUGGCAGUCUCGGUAUAANUCCUUUGGAAUAGGGUAUCAUAGAGGGUGAGAAUCCCGUCUUNGACUGAGAAUAUGCUACUAUGUGAUACGUUUUCAAAGAGUCGAGUUGUUUGGGAAUGCAGCUCAAAAUGGGUGGUAAAUUUCAUCUAAGGCUAAAUAUUGGCGAGAGACCGAUAGCGAACAAGUACCGUGAGGGAAAGAUGAAAAGAACUUUGAAAAGAGAGUUAAACAGUGCGUGAAAUUGUUAAAAGGGAAACGCUUGAAACCAGUCAUGCGGUUGGGAAAUCAGUCUCUGACAAGGGGGAAUGGGAGAGGUGUGGACCGCAAGGCCGCUCUUUUUCAUAUCUUUCGUGGCAGGGAUGCACUUUUUCUUCUGCAGGUCAACAUCAGUUUGCUUUGCCGGACAAAACUCUUGGAAAGGUGAUAGCUUAGGCUAUGUUAUAGUCCAAGAGCGAUACGGUGGAGCGGACUGAGGCUUUCGCAGCAUGUGCUCUCGGGCAAGGCUGAUUGGGUGCUAUGGGAUCGUUCAGAGUACAAUACAUGUAUUUUGCUUUGUGUCUUUUCUAUACUCGCUCAACUCGGCUCUUCCAUGCUUAGGAUGUUGACAUAAUGGUUCUAAUCGACC